Molecule: non-coding RNA, 26 nt
Filed under: Homo sapiens (human)
Lineage: Eukaryota; Metazoa; Chordata; Mammalia; Primates; Hominidae
Source: RNAcentral
ACCAUGUGAGGCCAUGUGACCAAAGG